AAUGAACGCUGGCGGCGUGCCUAACACAUGCAAGUCGGAUGUGCCGCAAGGUGCAUGGCAGACGGGUGAGUAACGCGUAGGGAAUCUACCUUUUUGUGGGGAAUAACGCUCCGAAAGGAGUGGUAAUACCGCAUGAGACCGUGAGCUGGGAUGUUCACGGUGAAACCUGGGGACCGCAAGGCCUGGGGCAAAAAGAGGAUCCUGCGUCUGAUUAGCUAGUUGGCGGGGUAAUGGCCCACCAAGGCGACGAUCAGUAGCCGGCCUGAGAGGGUGAUCGGCCACACUGGAACUGAGACACGGUCCAGACUCCUACGGGAGGCAGCAGUGGGGAAUUUUGCGCAAUGGACGAAAGUCUGACGCAGCAACGCCGCGUGGGCGAUGAAGGUCUUCGGACUGUAAAACCCUGUCGUCAGGGACGAAGGUGGCAGUGUUAAUAGCGCUGUUACUUGACGGUACCUGGAGAGGAAGCCCCGGCUAACUCUGUG
Molecule: ribosomal RNA, 485 nt
Filed under: uncultured bacterium
Lineage: Bacteria
Description: partial 16S ribosomal RNA
Rfam family: Bacterial small subunit ribosomal RNA
Source: RNAcentral